GACGAACGCUGGCGGCGUGCUUAACACAUGCAAGUCGAACGAAGUGGCGAACGGGUGAGUAAUACGUGGGUAACCUGCCCUCCUUUUUGGGAUAAGCCUUUGAAACGGGGUCUAAUACCGAAUAGAGGGGGCUGGGCGCGCGGCCUAUCGGCUUGUUGGUGGGGUGAUGGCCUACCACGGCGGUGCCGGGUAGCCGGCCUGAGAGGGUGACCGGCGACAUUGGGACUGAGAUACGGCCCAGAGUCCUACGGGAGGCAGCGGUGGGGAAUAUUGCACAAUGGGCGGAAGCCUGUUGCAGCGACGCCGCGGGUGGGAUGACGGCCUUCGGGUUGGAAACUCCGUUCACCAUCGACGCGGUAGAUGGAGAAGAAGCACCGGCUAACUACGUGCCAGCAGCCGCGGUAAUUC
RNAcentral lists this ribosomal RNA (408 nucleotides) under uncultured bacterium. Its description in RNAcentral is "partial 16S ribosomal RNA". It matches the Rfam family "Bacterial small subunit ribosomal RNA", at positions 28 to 526 of the family's 1533-position model. The record is from RNAcentral.